GAUGAACGCUGGCGGCGUGCCUAAUACAUGCAAGUCGAGCGAACGGACGAGAAGCUUGCUUCUCUGAUGUUAGCGGCGGACGGGUGAGUAACACGUGGAUACCCUACCUAUAAGACUGGGAUCACUUCGGGAAACCGGAGCUAAUACCGGAUAAUAUUUUGAACCGCAUGGUUCAAAAGUGAAAGACGGUCUUGCUGUCACUUAUAGAUGGAUCCGCGCUGCAUUAGCUAGUUGGUAAGGUAACGGCUUACCAAGGCAACGAUGCAUAGCCGACCUGAGAGGGUGAUCGGCGACACGGGAACGGAGACGCGGACCAGACUCCUACGGGAGGCAGCAGUAGGGAAUCUUCCGCAAUGGGCGAAAGCCUGACGGAGCAACGCGGCGUGAGUGAUGAAGGUCUUCGGAUCGUAAAACUCUGUUAUGAGGGAAGAACAUAUGUGUAAGUAGCUGUGCACAUCUUGACGGUACCUAAUCAGAAAGCCACGGCUAACUACGUG
This 497-nucleotide ribosomal RNA is filed under the name uncultured bacterium. RNAcentral describes it as "partial 16S ribosomal RNA". It matches the Rfam family "Bacterial small subunit ribosomal RNA", at positions 28 to 507 of the family's 1533-position model. The record is from RNAcentral.